Neoarius graeffei (lesser salmon catfish) is the source of this 239-nucleotide long non-coding RNA. RefSeq lists it as uncharacterized. The transcript has 3 exons. The record is from RefSeq and is a predicted model, not a curated record. Lineage: Eukaryota; Metazoa; Chordata; Actinopteri; Siluriformes; Ariidae.
UCUGCCAGCCGGUCUCUGUCACUACAAAGCUGCAGCCGCACUACAACCUGCUCAGCUUUCUGUCACAGAUGUUCAGAACUGUAUGGACAACUCAACCUCUUCUGACAUCAUCAUUUCUUGACCAAUCUUCACCAAAAUGCACAGGACAACUCACUGGAGUCACACAAAGACAUCAUUAGUUUUUGCUGUUGUCCAGUUGACCGUCCCACUGGCCGAUACCCCGUGUUUCAUUGUGGUUG